GGGCUCUGAGUCCAAACUAGAGAAUUUAUUUCUCUAGGGCUUGCGAUCAUGGAAAAAGGUAUUAAGGUUAUGGAAGCCCAACUAGACACUUAUAGAGACAAACAUGUUGGAAUUAAGAAAGAAGAAAGUGAUGAAUUUGUGGGGUGAUGGUGAUUACCAGCCAUCAGAUCAAGUCAGCAACAAAUCUUGAUCGUGUUAAAUCAACUUCCUCGUGAUGUAAAGGUUACUUUCAUGGCCCUCAUUUUAUUGAUUUUUUUUCAAUUUCAAUAUGAUUUUUCAUAUAUUCCCAUAUUGUUAUAGUUUCCAGAUAUGUUAUUGCAUCUAUGAAAUGAAAAAAUAUCCUAAUCACAAAUAACAAUAUCAACACCGCCGCUCUCCGCUCCUCUUCAAAGUUGGUUUUUAUCCACCAAGUUAUAAGAAUAACUUCUUAAGAUAAAGUUCUAUUUAGAAAAAAGAUUCCAUGG
RNAcentral lists this long non-coding RNA (464 nucleotides) under Helianthus annuus (common sunflower). Lineage: Eukaryota; Viridiplantae; Streptophyta; Magnoliopsida; Asterales; Asteraceae. The record is from RNAcentral.